UGGGGAGUCGUCUAAUGGUAGGACAGCGGACUCUGAAUCCGUAAGUGAAGGUUCAACUCCUUCCUCCCCAGCCA
RNAcentral lists this transfer RNA (74 nucleotides) under Dehalococcoidales bacterium. RNAcentral's name for it is "tRNA-Gln". It matches the Rfam family "tRNA". Rfam says of the family: Transfer RNA (tRNA) molecules are approximately 80 nucleotides in length. The record is from RNAcentral. Lineage: Bacteria; Bacillati; Chloroflexota; Dehalococcoidia; Dehalococcoidales.